UAGGAAAACUUAGCACUCUCUAGAAUCCACCAAAAGAGAUGCAUGAAUUUAUAGAGAAUGAUUAGUACCUCUCAAAUUAAAGUAGAUUAAUAUUCAAAUACUUUCGUUUCUACCUUCAAGGCUUAGAAGAGUGUGAUUUAAAUAGUCGAGACUUGGAACAACCUUCCAAACAUAGGCAUUUUCGUAAGAAUUCUGAUAGGCCCUUGUCAAAUACACCUAUUCUAGAAGGGUCAAGAAGGCGGUAGAGGACUUGGGUAAGUGUAAGUGUACAAGCAGCCUUCCACCCUAUAUCCUUGGAGGCAUAACCUGCGAUUUAUCUCCCUCACGAUGCUCCAGGGCAGGGGCGGUGGGGGACCCUUAAGGUUGGGGUUUAACCUUUUAAGAAGGCGGUAGAGGAGUAACAAAUUCUGUUGAGCAAAGAUGACAUGGCUAGAGUUAGUUACAGAUGAUGGUUAUAAAUAGAAUAGAUGCAUGGAGUCAAGGGAUAUGGAAAAAGUUUGUAAGCAAGUCUUAAUAGGAAAGUCAGGCCCUCUCGAACGGCCUCUACCAGUUACUGUGUUUGAGUUGUAUUUCUCAUUCAAUCAAUACAAUUAGUUUUCUCUUCCUAUUUUUCUCUUAUUUUUCCUUGAUUUUACAGUAGGACCCUAUCAUUGUGGCAUUAAAGCACCCUGUUCCUUUCGCAGUCAUGACUCUGGUGGACUAAGUAAGUGUGUUGGAACAAAAGGUGGACUGUAAUCAUCGUCAACUACAAACUAACCUGGAGGUAUUAUGAUUAGAGUUUCAUUCAAUGCAUACAGGCAUUAUGGAGAAGGUGGAUGUGCUGCUACAAGAUUGGGCAAGCCAGGAGAGAGAUUGCAAGGAAAAGGAGAUGGUAAAAUUACUAGCAUCAUCUGUCGAGUUUGGGCCAACCUAUUCCAGACCAAGUAGAAGCCAAUACAAGGGAGAUGGAGCUCUAGGAAAUUGGAGAGAAGAGUGGUGCGUAAGGCAUUUGGAUAUGCCUGUGUUCGACGACACGAAAUCAGAUGGUUGGAUUUUAGGGUGGAAAGAUAAUUUGGGAUCAACACGAUGAUCAAAGAAGAGAAGAUGGAUGCCGUUGUCGUAUGUUUGGACAAAGAGGCGUUAAUCUAGUUUAAAUGGGAGGAGAAAUGGUGGUCGAUUCGAAACUGGGAGGAGAUGAAGCUAAGGCUGCUACGACAUUGUCGAGCUUCACAAGAAGGGAAGUUGUGUGUCCAAUUUUUGGUAGUUAGGAAAGACACCACAAAAAGGUCUUAUCACCAGGGACUUGAAAUGUUGGUUGCACCCAUUGAACGGUUUAUCGAAGAAAGUGCUAGAAGAAAGUUCUAUGAAUGGGUUGAAGCCAAAAUUGAGGACAGAAGUCCAAUUAUAUAGGCUUUCUGGGCUGGAAAAAUGAUGGAAAUAGCCCAGAUGGUGGAAGAAAGAAAUUGAGUCGUAAAGGUUGGACAGUGGAGCCUAGGUCCAACAAAAUCUAAAGCAAUCACUCCUCCUAAUCCAAACUCCUCCUAAAGUCUUAACCCAAUACCCAAGCCCACCAUCCCUCUUAAUAUCAUCCUAAAUCAUAUGGCCGUCCCUAGUUUAUUCCCAAAACAGACCGUUCCGUUCAAACGACUCACAAAUGUCGAGGUACAAACUAAGCGUAAAAGGGGAUUAUGCUAUCGAUGUGAUGAAAAGUUUACGAUCGGCCACCAGUGUAAGAAUAAGGAGCUCCAAGAGCUUGUGAUCAGAGAGAUAAAAGUCACGUCGGAGGAAGAGUUGGCACACGACAGCAGUGAGGAAAGGGCUGUAAUUGGGAACACCGAAGUAGAAAAGGCUGAAGUAAAUCAGGCCAUUGAGCUGUCAAUUAACUCGGUUGUUGGACUCACCACUCUGGGAACGAUGAAGCUGAACUGUAAACUCGGCCAAAGGAGGUAGUUGUACUUAUUGAUAAUGGAGCAUCCCAUAAUUUUGUCAGUUCUGAAAUUGUUCAAUACCUGGGCAUUCCUUCGUCUGGAACCCUACGGUAUGGAAUGAUUAUGGGGAUGGAUCUCACUGUAAAAGGAGAAGUUGUAUGAAAACAGAUAUCUCUGAAGUUACAAAACAUGCUGGUGGUAGAGGACUUUUUACCCUUGGGGUUAGGGAGCUUGGAUGUCAUAUUGGAGAUGCAGUGGCUGCAAAAUUGGUAAGGAUGCAAGUAGAUUGGAAUACUUUGACGAUGACUUUCAACACAGCAGGAACCACGAUGACCCUUCAAGGAGACCAAAGUCUAAGUAAAACUCCAGUGUCACUAAGAAUGAUGUGAAAGUUUUUAGAGAGCAAGGAGAAGGGCUCUUGUUGGAAAUGGAAAAAAUCAUUAUUGAGGCCAAAAGAGCGCCUGAGCCACAAAAAAUCAUUGUCGAGGUAUUGAAGGAGUUUUCUACAUUUUUCGAGAAUAGCAGUAAGUUGUCCCCCCUCAUUGAGCUCAUGGCCAUUCUAUCAACCUACAAUCAGGAGCAGGCCCAAUUUGCACGAGGCCGUAUAGAUACCUGUAAUUCUAGAAAAAUGAAAAAUUGAGAAUUUAGUACCAAAAAUGCUUUCUAUAGGAGUUAUUUAGCAUAGCACAAGUCUAGUGCUCCUUGUGAAGAAAAAGGACGAGAGUUGGAGGUUUUGUAUUGACCAUCUGGCAAUGAUCAAGGUGACCAUUGUAGACAAAUUCCCAAUUUCUGGUCAUUGAUGAGCUGUUGGUUGAGCUACAGGGAUCAACCAUUUUUUUUGAAAAUUGAUCUAAAAUCAGGGUAUCAUCAAAUUAGGGUGAAGACUAGAGACAUUCCAAAAACUGUAUUCCACACUCACGAAGGCCAUUAUGAAAUCCUAGUUCUGCCAUUCGGCCUAAAAAAUGCAUUGGCAACCUUCCACCCUUUGAUGAACGAUAUAUUCAAGGUGCAAUUCUGAAGAUUUGUUCUAGUCUUUUUUGAUGAUAUUUUAGUUUAUAGCCGAACAGUAGAGGAGCACCAGGAGCAUUUGAGAUGGGUAAUACAACGGUUAGCAAAAUAUCAUCUAUUUGCCAAUAAAAAAAAAUGCUUGCUUGGUCAGAAAGAGCUAGAAUACCUCAAUCACAUAAUUUUAGGAAAGGGGGUAGCAGCUGAUGCAUCUAAAGUGGCCGCAACGGUAGCUUGGCCGUGACCAAAGUCCCUUAAAGAACUACGGGGAUUCCUUAGUCUAACAAGGUACUACCUGAGGUUUAUAAAAGCAUAUGGGAAGAUAGUGUGGCCACUAAUGCAACAAUUAAAGAAGGAUAACUUUGGAUGGAGUGAUGAGGUGGAGGCUGCUUUUGAGAGUGUGAAGAAGGCCAUGGUUUUGGCCCUAGUAUUGGCGCUUCUGAAUUUUUCAAACCUGUUUGUGAUCAAACCAAUGGAUUCAACCAUGGUUUGGGGGUGGUUUUGGUGCAACAUCAAAGACCCAUCACCUAUUUUAGUCAAGCUCUUCCAUCUCGAGUCCGUAGUAAGUCCAUUUAUGAAAUAAAGUUGAUGGCAAUCAUAUUUGCUGUGCAAAAAUGGAAGCACUAUCUGACUGGGAGGCAUUUUGUAGUCCAAAUUGAUUAGAAGAGUCUCAAAUUCUCAUUGGAACAACGACUAGUGAAUGAAGAACACCAAAAGUGGUUAACUAAGCUGCUGGGAUUUGAUUUUGACAUAGAAUACAAGCCUGGUUGGAAAAUAAAAUAGCAGAUGCCCUGUCCUGCAUUAAGUUAGCUACAACCUUGAUUACUCUUAGCAUACCAUGUGUACUACAGCAAGAUGACUUAUCAAAGGCAGUGAAGAAAGAUCCAGAGUUAACCCAAAUUCUCACAGCAUUACAAGCUGAUCUGUCGUCAUGCGUAGGGUUUGCACUGAUUUGGGGUGCACUAUUAUAUCAUGAAAAACUUGCCCUUCCUAAAGAUUUUCCAUUUGUGUUGUUAGCAUUACAAGAGGGACAUGAUAGCAAAAUUAAGUGUGAUGGGGGUUUCCUCAAGACAUAUAAAAGGAUAGCCAAAACAUUCUAUUGGAGAGGCACGAAGAAGGACAUUCGGGACUAUGUGGCAGCUUGUGCCACUUAUGAACAGAACACAUAUUCUACUCUCAUGCUUGUAGGGCUGCUUCAACCUUUAACAGUGCCAGAGGGAGUUUGGGAUGAUAUAUCCACGGAUUUUAUCGAAAGGUUGCCAAAAUCAGAUGGUUUUAACUCAAUCUUGGUAGUUGUGGAUCGUUUGAAUAGGUAUAUCACUUUGCGGAUCUCAAAUACCCCUUCUUAGUACCUUUUGUGGUGAUAGUUUUCAUUAAGAAAUAGUUCGAUUGCACGGCAUGCCACGAUCGAUAAUCUUUGAUCAUGACAAGGUGUUUGUCAGCAAAUUUUGGAGUGAGCUCUUUCAGUUGCAAAGCACUAAGCUAAGGUUGAGUUCAGCCUAUCACCCGUAAAUCAACUGUCAAACAGGGGUAGUCAACAGAAGCGUCGAAACAUAUUUGCGUUGCUUUACUUUUGGCAGGCUCGAGGAACGGUUUCAUUUUCUAUCAUGGGUGGAACUGUCUUAUAAAACCUCUUUCCAUGUGUCAACUCAAUUAACACGAUUUCAGAUCUUGUAUGGCCGGGAUCACCACCAGUCAUCCAUUUUGAGAAGGGGUCUAUCGUGGUAUCAUCACUUGAUCACCAGCUGCUAGAACGAGAUCAGUUAUUGGAUGAGCUAAAGAAGUAUUUGCAGCGAGCUCAACAAAAGAUGAAAGCUGCAGCUGACCAGCAUAGGAGGGUUGUUGAGUUUGCAAAUGGAGAGCUAGUCUAUCUGAGAAUGAGGCGCUAUCGUCUUAAAUCAUUAGCACAAUGUUUGAAUGAAAAGCUUGCUCCCAGGUACAAUGGGCCUUUGUAAGUGUUAGCAAAGGGUGGGCCAAUAGCUUGUAGACUGAAACUACCACUUGAAUCCUAAAUUCAUCCAGUCUUUCAUAUCUCUCAACUCAGAAACGCUGUGGGAAAAUUCCAUCUACUCUCCCACAAAAGCUAGGAGUAGAUUGGGAGUUAAAGGUAAAACUUGAAUCUCUAUUGGGAAUUCGUUCUGUACCAUUGGGCGAUAUUGAUAAGAUGGAGGUACCGAUUAAAUGGAUUGGGCUAUCACCAUUGGAAGCAACUUGUGAACCUUUUGAGUUCAUUAACCAACAAUUUCCUUCUUUCCACCUUGCGAACAAGGUGACUAAAUUGGGCGGGGUAAUUGAUAGGUCCCCUAUCAAAUACACCUAUUCUAGAAGGGUCAAGAAGGCAGUAGAGGAGUAAAAAAGUUCUGUUGAACAAAGAUGACAUGGCUAGAGUUAGUUACAGUUGGGAGUUAUAAAUAGAAUAGAUGCAUGGAGUCAAGGAAUAUGGAAAAGGUUGUAAGCAAGUCUUAAUAGGAGAGUCAUGCCUUCUUGAACGGCCUCUACCAGUUAUUGUGUUUGAGUUGUAUUUCCCAUUCAACCAAUACAAAUAGUUUUCUUUUGCUAUUUCUCUCCUGUUUUUCCUUGAUUCUACAGUACGACACUCUCAAGUUCUUAUAAA
RNAcentral lists this long non-coding RNA (5526 nucleotides) under Olea europaea (common olive). RNAcentral describes it as "long non-coding RNA (OEUR_LNC009944)". The record is from RNAcentral. Lineage: Eukaryota; Viridiplantae; Streptophyta; Magnoliopsida; Lamiales; Oleaceae.